GACAGAGGGUGCAAGCGUUGUUCGGAAUUAUUGGGCGUAAAGGGCGCGUAGGCGGUCUGUUAAGUCGGGUGUGAAAGCCCUGGGCUCACCCCAGGAAGUGCAUUCGAAACUGGCAGACUCGAGUGUCGGAGAGGGUCGUGGAAUUCCCGGUGUGGAGGUGAAAUUCGUAGAUAUCGGGAGGAACACCAGCGGCGAAGGCGGCGACCUGGACGAACACUGACGCUGAGGCGCGAAAGCGUGGGGAGCAAAC
Molecule: ribosomal RNA, 250 nt
Filed under: uncultured bacterium
Lineage: Bacteria
Description: partial 16S ribosomal RNA
Rfam family: Bacterial small subunit ribosomal RNA
Source: RNAcentral